Molecule: ribosomal RNA, 882 nt
Filed under: Cladosporium basi-inflatum
Lineage: Eukaryota; Fungi; Ascomycota; Dothideomycetes; Cladosporiales; Cladosporiaceae
Description: LSU rRNA
Rfam family: Eukaryotic large subunit ribosomal RNA
Source: RNAcentral
GCAUAUCAAUAAGCGGAGGAAAAAGAAACCAACAGGGAUUGCUCUAGUAACGGCGAGUGAAGCAGCAAUAGCUCAAAUUUGAAAUCUGGCGUCUUCGACGUCCGAGUUGUAAUUUGUAGAGGAUGCUUCUGAGUAACCACCGACCUAAGUUCCUUGGAACAGGACGUCAUAGAGGGUGAGAAUCCCGUAUGCGGUCGGAAAGGUGCUCUAUACGUAGCUCCUUCGACGAGUCGAGUUGUUUGGGAAUGCAGCUCUAAAUGGGAGGUAAAUUUCUUCUAAAGCUAAAUAUUGGCCAGAGACCGAUAGCGCACAAGUAGAGUGAUCGAAAGAUGAAAAGCACUUUGGAAAGAGAGUUAAAAAGCACGUGAAAUUGUUAAAAGGGAAGGGAUUGCAACCAGACUUGCUCGCGGUGUUCCGCCGGUCUUCUGACCGGUCUACUCGCCGCGUUGCAGGCCAGCAUCGUCUGGUGCCGCUGGAUAAGACUUGAGGAAUGUAGCUCCCUCGGGAGUGUUAUAGCCUCUUGUGAUGCAGCGAGCGCCGGGCGAGGUCCGCGCUUCGGCUAGGAUGCUGGCGUAAUGGUCGUAAUCCGCCCGUCUUGAAACACGGACCAAGGAGUCUAACAUCUAUGCGAGUGUUCGGGUGUCAAACCCCUACGCGUAAUGAAAGUGAACGGAGGUGAGAACCGCAAGGUGCAUCAUCGACCGAUCCUGAUGUCUUCGGAUGGAUUUGAGUAAGAGCAUAGCUGUUGGGACCCGAAAGAUGGUGAACUAUGCCUGAAUAGGGUGAAGCCAGAGGAAACUCUGGUGGAGGCUCGCAGCGGUUCUGACGUGCAAAUCGAUCGUCAAAUUUGGGUAUAGGGGCGAAAGACUAAUCGAACCAUCU